UACAGAGGGGGCAAGCGUUAUUCGGAAUUAUUGGGCGUAAAGGGCGCGUAGGCGGCCUGACAAGUGGAAGGUGAAAUCCCUCGGCUCAACUGAGGAACUGCCCUCCAAACUGUUUGGCUUGAGACCGGGAGAGGUGAGUGGAAUUCCCAGUGUAGCGGUGAAAUGCGUAGAUAUUGGGAGGAACACCAGUGGCGAAGGCGGUUAGCUGGGGUCGAACUGACGCUGAGGCGCGACAGCGUGGGGAGCAAACAGG
RNAcentral lists this ribosomal RNA (253 nucleotides) under uncultured bacterium. Its description in RNAcentral is "partial 16S ribosomal RNA". It matches the Rfam family "Bacterial small subunit ribosomal RNA", at positions 524 to 776 of the family's 1533-position model. The record is from RNAcentral.